RNAcentral lists this ribosomal RNA (493 nucleotides) under uncultured bacterium. RNAcentral describes it as "partial 16S ribosomal RNA". It matches the Rfam family "Bacterial small subunit ribosomal RNA", at positions 28 to 506 of the family's 1533-position model. The record is from RNAcentral.
GACGAACGCUGGCGGCGUGCUUAACACAUGCAAGUCGAACGGAAAGGCCUGCUUUCCCUUGUGGAUUGCGGGUACUCGAGUGGCGAACGGGUGAGUAACACGUGAGUGAUCUGCCCCCAACUUGGGUAUAAGCCUGGGAACCUGGGUCUAAUUCCCGAUAGGACUGCAGGGUGGUGUCUGUGGUGGAAAACGUUCUUCUAGUGGUUGGGGAUGAGCUCGCGGCCUAUCAGCUUGUUGGUGGGGUAAUGGCCUACCAAGGCGGCGACGGGUAGCCGGCCUGAGAGGGUGGACGGCCACAUUGGGACUGAGAUACGGCCCAGACUCCUACGGGAGGCAGCAGUGGGGAAUAUUGCACAAGGGGCGGAAGCCUGAUGCAGCGACGCCGCGUGGGGGAUGACGGCCUUCGGGUUGUAAACUCCUUUCGACCGCGAGGAAGCCACCUGGUUGGAAGGGUGGUGACGGUAGUGGUAGAAGAAGCACCGGCUAACUACGU